CUCUGAUGCCGACUCUGAUUAAAUCACAAGCUCUGGUGGCAGGUCCACGUAUUUUUAAUUUGCCAGGUGAUUCUGGUGUGCAGCCAAGGUUAAGAAUCCCUGAUCUUAGCUCACACCUAUAAUCCCAGCACUUUGGGAGGCCAAGGCAGGCAGAUCACCUGAGGUCAGGAGUUCAAGAUCAGCCUGGCCAACAUGGUGAAACCCCAUCUCUACUAAAAAUACAAAAAUUAGCCGGGUGUGGUGGUGGGCACCUGUAAUCCCAGCUACUCAGGGGGCUGAGACAGGAGAAUGGCUUGAACCUGGGAGGUGGAGGUUGCAGUGAGCCAAGAUCUCACCACUGCACUCCAGCCUGGGUGACAGAGUGAGACUCCAUCUCAAAUAAACAAACAAAAAACCACUGUUCUGGAGAGAGGAUUUUAAAGCAUCUGUUUCCAACCCGGGCUUGCUCUCAGAGUUUAUUCCUUGAGGACAAUUUCUAAGCAAGGAUAUCACUGUUGUUUUGACCUUCAGUCCCAUUUAUAAGGGUCCAAAUUCCUUUGAGAAAAGUUCCAGAAAUCCUCCUCCCUCCCUACCCAAUCUAUGAUCCUAUGUCCUUGUGAUGCCCGUUUCCACACAGCUGAAGAACUACGGAAGGAAAAUGUAGUAAACUAGAAGAAAAAGACAAAUGCCUUCCUGUUCCCACUUCUCUAAAACCCCAUAGCUAGGAACAGAAAAAAAGGAAAAGACUUGAAAUGUUCUAGAGAUAUAACAAAAACUUUUUUUUUUUUAAAGAGGAUCCACCUGGUUCAUGAACCCUCCCUCACUGCUCUCUGCACAUCACGGCCACACAGCACCUGCAGGGAGGCUGUGGGGAGGUGUGGAGCAGGUGCAACAGGCAGCUACUCUCCUGGGGGCCACACGGCGGAGAGAGGAUUCGAUGCAGCAUGACGAUCCCUUCCUCCCAGGCAUGACCUCUUCUCAGAACACGGGAACUGACAACACUGCGAGUGGCAACUCAGCAGGUGGGCAGAGAAGCAGAAAGGGGCCCUCAGCACCACUAGGCCAGCUCUCAGAAUCAGAAGAGCAGCCUCCAGGGAGGGAGCAGGGCUACAGGGACAGCCUACGGGCAGUGGAGCUUCUGGUUUGGCACAUGGGAAAGGCUGGGGCGCAUGCGCUGAAACAUGACACCAUCAGGGAAGCCAGAAAGGACAACAUGGACAAGGCCAUCGAUCUGAACCCCCAGCCAAAAUGGGUGCUCUCGGCUUGCUCAAAAAGUGCUGCCAGCAGCGAUAGGUUGGCAAAUUAAAAGCAAACAAAUAGAGGUCACGGCCACACAAAGGCAGUAACUGCACUCACAAGGUGGCUCAGCCCAAAGAGGUCUGAAUCUGAAUAUGCCGCACUGUCCCUGCCCCGGGGGAGAAGGGGAAGGCUGGGCCCUGGGAACUAGAGAUGAUGGCAUUCCUUUCAUUCCUUCCUGAGGCGGGCCUGGAGGGCUGUGCCCUGGUGACUCCUGUCUCCUAAAGGAGGGCAGGGCCGGCUGAAGGAUCCAGGCAUUGAUGUCUAGUUCUGAGGACACCCAGGACCCGCAACUACAAGGGCCAUCUAAAACGUGGCCUGGAGGGGAUGGGGGCAGGCGGGCACAAAACUUCUGCUCAGCUCACUCCAGCUCCCCACGUGCUCAUCUGUUCCCCAGAUCUGGGGCUGCCUAGUGAGCCGUUAAACGCCUGGGUUCCGCCCAGGGCUGCCUUCCACCGGGACGCCGGGCCUGCUGUGGCUGGACCCUACAGGAGACAAGGGAAGGAGAAUUAACAUCAAAGCUGGUAAAGUAUCCUGUCAAAACCAAGUGCCAAAUCCUCUGUGGGACAGGAAGGGGCAGCUAAGACAGGUGCUUCGGGAUGCCUUGGGAAGUAUCAGAGCAGAAACAGGAGCGACUGGUUAGCAGAUGGUCAGCCAACAGAUGCCUUCCCUGGGAGACGGGGAAGCUGGGGCUGUGGAUUUCUGGCCCCGAGGGUCCCAGGUCAUUAUGCUGAACAAGAGGCACCUUCCCGGGACGAUACAGCACCCUGUGCUGGAAGGAAGCACCAUUUUCCACAGUGGAGGAGUCUCAUGACCCCUCCUGUCUUCCAGAAGGAUGGAAGGGAGCGCCCACCCCACACCCCUGGAGAAAAAUGCCCCCCAGCCUGGGGAGCCAUGGGCUCUGCUCCUCCCUCAGCUGAAGGGCCAGGAAAGGGAAGUGAAGGGGCAGGGAGAGGGAAGAUAUUUACCUUACGUGUGCUCUGAAAACAAAAAACGCGCACUAGUCCACAGUCAUUUAUCAACUGCAGUUUCCAACUGUGCCAAAGAGGGAAAGGUCUACUGGGAAGGCUAAAGAGAGCAGAGAGAGAAAGAAGAGGAGAAGCUAUUGAGCAGAAAUGGUUGUGCCUCUUGGCUCCGGGCAGCACCAUGGAGAGGGCCGGUGCCCCGGGCAGGGGAAGCUGAGGGAGAGCUGGCAGCUGCAGUGCUGGUGCUGCGCUGCCCCACAGCCUGCGGCUCAGGAUGGCAGAGAAAGCCAGGAGCACAGCAUGGAGGGCUGCACAGUGUGGGGACUGCCUUUCCCUCGGCAAUACAGUUCCAUGAAGAACUGACGUGGAGGACCUACCCAGGAUUUGAAAUAGUAGGCCAGGGGUCAGACAACUUUUUCUGUAAAGGACCAAUAUUUUUAGUUUUUGUAGGUCAUAUAGUCUCUGUCACAGCUACUCAGCUCCACUGCUGUAACUCAAAGGCAGCCAUAGCAAUCUACAAACAGAUGUGUGGGUUCUCAUAAAACUUCAUUCUCAAAAAUAGGCUGCUAGCCAGAUGUGGCCCUUGCACCACUAUUUGCCAACCCCUGCUGUAGGCAAUUUAAAAUUAUUGUGUCUUCCAAGUCUCAAAAAAGGCACUUCUCUGCUGGGCGUCUAGUGCCAAGGUCUCCAGAAACUGGUUCUCAUCUGCAUGAUUUAAGCAGUGCCCCACCAAAAUCUCCAGGUGUGCAGCGGCCCUACGCUCCUCCGGACAGUGAAGUGCCAAGCUCACGGGACAAAAUGCAGGACAACCCGAGUUCAGGCAAGAAACAGAAAGACAGCAGGCCAGCCUCACUGAAGCAACUGUCAGGACGGCCCAGUGAAGAUUAUUUAAAAAUCUCCGGGUGUGCAGUGAUGGGAAGAGCAUUAUUUUGGGAUUAGGUCUGUAUCUUCACUACAACACGUGCAGUCUGAGUAGCAGUGAGCCAGAAAAAGGCUCACAUGUGGGAGAACCAAAACCAAAAGACUCCCAUUUUUAAAACCUUGGCCUCUGAGACCCCAGUGUAAUGUGACAAUGUGAACUUCUGUAGAAGGGGCACCCCAUACAAUAAGAAACCAUCACAGUGGGUAAGCACAGAAGCCUCAACAACCCUAAAAGGUGCGGCACUAGCUACUCGUCCAGCUACUUUGGAGGCUGAGGCAGGAGGAUCACUUGAGCCCAGAGUAUGAAGCCAGCCUGGGCACCAUGGCAAGACCUUAUCUCUUAAAAAAAAGUGCAGCACCAUCCUUAGAGAGAUCUCUUUAGGAAGAGAUGCAACCCAUCCCCAGAUCCAAGACUUAAGCAGCACGACCUCACCCGCUGCCUUUUUGCCAACACCCAGAUCUGGAGCCCACAGGGGCUGAAGCAUCCACAUGGCCCAGGGUGGGAUUUCUGUCCCUUGCACCUGCAUGUGACCUCACAAUUCAGAAAGGACUAUUAGAAAAACAUGUUUGUGCUCUCGAGUGUGGGUCUGAGCAGCCACAGUGGCUCCACGGGAGGCCUACAGGAAGCAGGUCAGAGUCCCUGGGCCUUCUCUCUGGCUCUCAUUCCUGCCCUGUAGAACAGGCAGAACAGCUAGCAGCCCUCUGGCCACGGGGAGGUUAGCAGAGUUAGACAUGGAAGCUCCUAGCACAGUGCCUGGCAGAGGAAGUGCUGAUAACAGCUUGUCUUCCUCGUGGUGGGGCAGGUGGGGGUGGGAGGAGGCAAGCCUGCAGCUCCCUCCACAGCCCCACCAGCUCUUCCAGGAAUCUCAAGUUCAGGCAUAUCUCUGACCCCAACCUUAGGAACGCAAUCAGAAUUAAAGUAUCUUCUUGAAAAACAAGAACAAGAAACCCUUCACCACUCCUACCCACAGCCUACACUUCAGACUCUUUCACCUCCCUCCUUGCAGUGUGGGGAUGGGGUUCCAUAUCCCACAACCUUUAGUUCGAUUUGCAAAAUUUCUUCCAACACAAUCUUCCUGCUCGCAGUGGAGCACUGGAUGGGCCACGCUUAAAUAUUAGUAUGAACUGACCAAACUCUUCACAAAUGCCCUUCUAGUGUCUAGGAUGGUGUCUGCCAGCCACACACCCUCUAAGCCAGGGCCACUGCUGACUCAAAGUGACCUAAACUUAAUCUUAAAUGGCCAAAAGAGUGUCUGAACUAAAACUUAUUCCCACUUCCCAACAAAUCUCUGAUUAAGUCAAUCCAUUCUAAGACGUCCUUGAGAGAAAUACCGACUUACUAUACUCUACUCUAAAUACCAGUUAGUCUAUAGUUUGGUGUCAUCCAUGCUAUUAAAGACAGCAAGAAGUUCAAGUUGAAUAAUGAAUUAAAAAAAAAAAAAGCAAGAAGGGGGUUGGGCACAGUGGUUCAUGCCUGUAAUCCCAGCACUUUGGGAAGGUGAGGCAGGCGGAUCAUCUGAGGUCAGGAGUUCAAGACCAGCCUGGCCAACAUGGUGAAACCCCAUCUCUACUAAAAAUACAAAAAUUGGCCAGGCGUGGUCGUGGGCGCCUGUAUUCCCAGCUACUCAGGAGUCUGAGACAGGAGAACUGCUUGAACCCAGGAGCCGGAGGUUGCAGUGAGCCGAGAUCACACCAUUGUACUCCAGCCUGGGCAACAGAGCAACAGAGUAAGACUCCAUCUCAAAAAAAAAAAAAAUUAUUUAUAUAUAGAUAUAUAUAUAUAAAGAAGGGAAAAGGAUGGGGAGAAAAGAGAGAAAAAAGACAGAGGGUGGGGGGGCGGCGAGAGUGCAAGUCUGUGUGUGUGAGCUCACGGCCCUCAGGUCCAGACACCAUGCACGAUGUACCACUUGGCACUCACCUGCCGCUGUGGUGGUCUUCUCACCAAGGAGCCUGGUCUGGCUGCCUGGAAUAACCUGCAGGUCGGUGUUCUCAGGGGACUGUGGCAGGUUCUGGGCUCGGGUAGCCAGGAGUGCAUUGAGGUACUGCAGUCGCGUAACCUGGAGGAUGACAGCGUUACUGGGACCCAAUUGGUGAAGCGAGAUGCAGAAGGUAGGCAGGAAAGGUGACACCGUGCCCGAAGAGGACAGAGGCACAACUUUAAGCUAGUUAAGGGCAGAGAAGAGCAACUGAGUCAAGUGUUUUUAAGACCUUGCUUGGAAACUGGGUGCAAAGGUCUGUGUCCCUCAGGAUGAGUGGAAGGCCUUGUUCCGGGCAGUCUCAGACCAGCUGGUCUAGCCCCCGGUGACACAAAGUCGGCUAAAGCCAGCACCCACAAGCAGCCCAGGCAGUCACCUUGAUGAGCUGCAGAUCAGAGAGCGCCCUCACGGUGUAGUCGGGACAAUACGCAGAUGAAUGCGUGCCGUCACCUGGGUCGGGCUGCAGGUCAUGGCGGAUGGGCUGGAGCGAGGACACCGGGGACUGGUGAACUAUCAAAGGAACAAUCAGUGAUGGCAGGAGCCAUGCUGGCAGCUGGGAGCCUCCUCCCCUGGUGGGGACAACUGUACAGUUUCGAAGACCCACCCCACCAAUCACUCUGGAGAGGCAAUGUGCAUGGGAAGCUGGGAGAGAAGGACAAACACAGCCGGGAGAGGUUUUGCAGGGGUGGAGUGGGCCACAAAGUUGAGCGAUGAAGAAUGCUGCCCUCCCUCCUGGAAGCCCAGGGGCUACACCACCUUGUGGGGUGGUGGGCUCAGGUGGAAGGAGAGGUGAGGAGGGGCACUGAGAGCCCAAGUGAUGAUGGGGGACAGGCUCUGCAGCCUCCACCCUGGCCCUCAGCAUCAGCAGGGCCGUGGCUUACCCGAGGAUGGCACAGUUAGGGCCGACACUCCAUAGUACGUGAAGGCCCCAUUCUCAAACUUCAGACCCUCUUUCCCGAUCUCCACUUCAACCCUGCCCUGGGAGGAGUGGCAAGGAGAGAAACAGAUGCGGCCAGAUUACCUUUCCCGUCAGAAGACAGCGGAAGGAGAAACCCACCACCUCAAUUGUUUGGGGUGGGAGGGUGCAUAUCCGCAUGCCCCUGCUCCCCUCUUCUCCUAGACCCUUCCCUGGCCUGAGGAAGCAGGAGGGACUCCAGGCCUGGGACCCACAGCUACCUGCAGGAUGAGAAUGAAGUAAUCCACCGGCUGGCUGCGCUGGUACAGGUAGUGGUGUGUGGCCAGCCGGUUGCUCUCGUCAAACCUCACUUCCUGGUUGACACUGGGAUGCUUCAACAGGUGCAGCAGGACCUUCUCAGAGAUGCGCAGCGGGCUGAAUACAUCCACUUCUGCACGUGGUGGAAAAAAGGGACAGUGUCCACUGGGGCCUAGUGGCCAGUGGAACCACACCCAACACUGUAGGCAAUUUAAAGUUAUUGUGCCCACCAGGGAUCUCCCGGGUGGCCUGUGAGCAGCUGCCCCUAACACCUCAACACAAGAGAACUAGGCAGGGGCCAGGUGCGGUGGCUCACGCCUGUAAUCCCAACACUUUCGGAGGCUGAGGCAGGUGGAUCACCUGCAGUCAGGAGUUGGAGACCAGCCUGGCCAAUAUGGCAAAACCCCGCCUCUACUAAAAAUACAAAAAUUAGCUGGGCGUGGUGAUACACGCCUGUAAUCCCAGCUACUUGGGAGGCUGAGGCAGGAGAAUCACUUGAACCCAGAAGGCGGAGGUUGCAGUGAGCCAACAUCGUG
RNAcentral lists this long non-coding RNA (6886 nucleotides) under Homo sapiens (human). RNAcentral describes it as "non-protein coding lnc-ANKRD23-1:2". The record is from RNAcentral. Lineage: Eukaryota; Metazoa; Chordata; Mammalia; Primates; Hominidae.